CAGUAAGUUACUCAUUAUUUUUAGAGUUACUUAAUAUUUACUUGAAAUUUUAAUUUCAGGACAAGCAACUGAAGAUUCUGAAGAUGAUGAACUGGGUCUUGGUCCUCCCAGCGGAUUAAAACCAGAUGCUAUUUUAAGGCUGUUUUAUGUCUUUGUUGUUGUAGGAGUUGUUGUACUUAUAUACAUUCUCAUCAAAUUUUUAAGGUUUAGGAGAAAACGAGCUACAAGAAAAUAUCGUGUCCUGUCACACACAGAUGAGCAGGAAAUGUUUCCUCUAGCUGCAGAUGAUGGUGAUGAUGAAGAAAUAUUUAAUGCAGCAGAUCAUCAGACUCUUAAAUGAAUCUCCAUUGUUGUUAAUUUAUUGAUUAUUUUUAUUCACUGUAUGCUGUCUACUAUGUAUAUAGUGUACUGUAUGAUUAGUGUUCUUUUUGAAGUUUGAUAUGCAAUGAACUUUUGUGUGAUCCUGUUAUUAAGAUGGAUAUAAUUGUUACAGUUUUCCAGUCUCAUUGUAAUGAUCCUGAUUUGUACUAUUUUCUUUUAUUUGUGAUGAGUGAUACAAUUUCCGAUUUUGAUUUUCAUUUGUAAUUAUAAAAUGGAAAUAAUUCUGCCUUAUUCAGCUUUGGGAGUGAAAGACUGGUGGAAGGAAGUCUUGUGUAUACUUGCUAAACUGCUUAUGUGUUUGUCAGCUUGCAGUAAGGCUUGAGUUAAUUGUUCUUCCAUAUAAUGUAAACUAUCUCAUAGUGGAACUUGUUGUUUAUCCUAAUAUACAUAAGAUACAAAUA
This is a long non-coding RNA of Macrobrachium nipponense, 782 nucleotides long. RefSeq lists it as uncharacterized. The record is from RefSeq and is a predicted model, not a curated record. The transcript is spliced from 2 exons. NCBI's taxonomy places the organism in Eukaryota, Metazoa, Arthropoda, Malacostraca, Decapoda, Palaemonidae.